Molecule: ribosomal RNA, 338 nt
Filed under: uncultured bacterium
Lineage: Bacteria
Description: bacterial SSU rRNA
Rfam family: Bacterial small subunit ribosomal RNA
Source: RNAcentral
ACUCCUACGGGAGGCAGCAGUAGGGAAUAUUGGUCAAUGGGGGCAACCCUGAACCAGCCAUCCCGCGUGCAGGAAGACUGUCCUAUGGAUUGUAAACUGCUUUUAUACAGGAAGAACAUCCCGGAUGCGUUCGGGACUGACGGUAUUGUAUGAAUAAGCACCGGCUAACUCCGUGCCAGCAGCCGCGGUAAUACGGAGGGUGCGAGCGUUAAUCGGAAUUACUGGGCGUAAAGCGCAUGCAGGUGGUUUGUUAAGUCAGAUGUGAAAGCCCCGGGCUCAAGCCUGGGAAUUGCAUUUGGAAACUGGACAAACUAAGAGUACUGUAGAGGGGGGUAGAA